AYCUGCAUCCCUAGUAGCGGCGAGCGAAGCGGGAAGAGCUCAAAUUUAUAAUCUGGCACCUUCGGUGUCCGAGUUGUAAUCUCUAGAAAUGUUUUCCGCGCUGGACCGCACACAAGUCUGUUGGAAUACAGCGGCAUAGUGGUGAGACCCCCGUAUAUGGUGCGGAUGCCCAGCGCUUUGUGAUACAUUUUCGAAGAGUCGAGUUGUUUGGGAAUGCAGCUCAAAUUGGGUGGUAAAUUCCAUCUAAAGCUAAAUAUUGGCGAGAGACCGAUAGCGAACAAGUACCGUGAGGGAAAGAUGAAAAGCACUUUGGAAAGAGAGUUAACAGUACGUGAAAUUGUUGGAAGGGAAACGCUUGAAGUCAGACUUGCUUGCCGAGCAAUCGGUUUGCAGGCCAGCAUCAKUUUUCCGGGAUGGAUAAUGGUAGAGAGAAGGUAGCAGUUUCGGCUGUGUUAUAGCUCUCUACUGGAUACAUCUUGGGGGACUGAGGAACGCAGUGUGCCUUACGGCGGGGGUUUCGACCUCUUCACACUUAGGAUGCUGGUGGAAUGGCUUUAAACGACCCGUCUUGAAAMMACGGAACA
RNAcentral lists this ribosomal RNA (584 nucleotides) under Rhodotorula sp. RNAcentral describes it as "partial large subunit ribosomal RNA". It matches the Rfam family "Eukaryotic large subunit ribosomal RNA", at positions 68 to 668 of the family's 3401-position model. Lineage: Eukaryota; Fungi; Basidiomycota; Microbotryomycetes; Sporidiobolales; Sporidiobolaceae. The record is from RNAcentral.